This 498-nucleotide ribosomal RNA is filed under the name uncultured bacterium. RNAcentral's name for it is "partial 16S ribosomal RNA". It matches the Rfam family "Bacterial small subunit ribosomal RNA", at positions 28 to 506 of the family's 1533-position model. The record is from RNAcentral.
GAUGAACGCUGGCGGCGUGCCUAAUACAUGCAAGUCGAGCGAACAGACGGGAGUGCUUGCACUCUCUGACGUUAGCGGCGGACGGGUGAGUAACACGUGGGUAACCUACCUAUAAGACUGGGAUAACUUCGGGAAACCGGAGCUAAUACCGGAUAAUAUUUAGCUUCGCAUGAAGCAAUAGUGAAAGACGGUUCUGCUGUCACUUAUAGAUGGACCCGCGGUGUAUUAGCUAGUUGGUGAGGUAACGGCUCACCAAGGCAACGAUACAUAGCCGACCUGAGGGGGGGACCGGCCCACCUGGGACUGAGACCCGCCCCAGACUCCUACGGGAGGCAGCAGGAGGGAAUCUUCCGCAAGGGACGAAAGUCUGACGGGGCAAUGCCGGGGGAGUGAAGAAGGUUUUCGGAUCGUAAAACUCUGUUGUAAGGGAAGAACAAGUACGUUAGUAACUGAACUUACCUUGACGGUACCUUACCAAAAAGCCACGGCUAACUACGU